GCCGGGAUUGUCCAACGGAACGACGGCGGUCUCUGAAACCGCAGAUGCAGGUUCGAUCCCUGCUCCCGGCUCCA
Molecule: transfer RNA, 74 nt
Filed under: Polyangiaceae bacterium
Lineage: Bacteria; Pseudomonadati; Myxococcota; Polyangiales; Polyangiaceae
Description: tRNA-Gln
Rfam family: tRNA
About the family: Transfer RNA (tRNA) molecules are approximately 80 nucleotides in length.
Source: RNAcentral